Long non-coding RNA from Carassius gibelio (silver crucian carp), 1136 nucleotides. RefSeq lists it as uncharacterized. The transcript is spliced from 2 exons. The record is from RefSeq and is a predicted model, not a curated record. Lineage: Eukaryota; Metazoa; Chordata; Actinopteri; Cypriniformes; Cyprinidae.
AGUCCUAGUAAACCGUGGUUCUGACCCUAUUUCACGUAGAGUGUGUGGAGUGCAGUGGGUGAGUCCUUGUCUUUGCUGUGAGUGUGUACACUUGAAAUCUUGCAGUGUUAUGCUGUGGUUGUGUUGUCAGUAGCCACCCUAGACUGGAUGAGUCGUGGGGGAGACCAGUGACCGUUGAGGCUGGUGAAGCGCCAUUUUCAUCUAAAUGCCAUUUUGCGACCCCUGCAUGGAGACCCAAAUGUAACGUCCUGUCUAGACCCUUUCAGAAUACCCUGGCUCUGUGGAAGCGGUGGUGAAGAAUACACGUAAGCAAGACUGGUGUGAGUAAAAGCCAAAAAUUAUACCUAUAUGCAAGGAGGAAGUUUUACUCUUGCAAAUUAGCUGUGUGGAUUUACUUUACCUGUUGUGGAGCCUCUUCAAAGGUUCACCCCGGUCCAGAUCCCUUAAACUGCAAAUAGAAGAGAGGAGAGGGAAGCGUUCGGGCCGGUGCGACAGUGUUUAACUUUCCCCGACGCACAGGAAAUCCCUGUGGAGGCCUGCGCUACGACGACUUACUACUCCAGGUCUGACAGUUCAUCUACUUACUGUAUCGCAGUAUUUCACCGUAAGCCCACCGCCCAGGAGAAGUAUUCUAGGAGAAUAGAGCCCCAGUUACCUGUGGAAUACUUACCUUUGUCCAUUGCUACGAAUCACUAAAGUGAGAAUAGAGCCCCAUUGCCUGUGAAGUACCUACCUGUGUUGUCCCCCGCAGUUUGAGUGACCUCUCUCUUGCAGUGCCAUUGGAGUUCUGUGUCGCGGGUUGGCGCUCACCUCGGAGUGUGCAGAAGGGGAGGCGCCGCCCGAGCACCCCGUACGAAGAGAUCGGAGGAACAAGUCGUUUAUCAGCCAGUCGUAUGGACCCAAGUAACAGGUAGCCACUCUCACCGGAUCGAUUACUCAUUGUGUGUUUCACUCUGCCUUCAGGAGAAAAGAAGGGCGCCACGAGUCAACAAAAGCCCAAAGGGACAUACUAACCCUCGCCGCAUAGUCCUCUCCGGCCCCUUUCUCCUCCUGCUGAACAGAGACGAUAAUUUUAAGAUUUACCUCCCCCUCCCUGAAUUAUUUUAAUUAAUUUAAAUAAAGUUGUUUUAAUAUUA